AUUGAACGCUGGCGGCAUGCCUUACACAUGCAAGUCGAACGGCAGCACGGGAGCAAUCCUGGUGGCGAGUGGCGAACGGGUGAGUAAUAUAUCGGAACGUGCCCAGUCGUGGGGGAUAACGUAGCGAAAGCUACGCUAAUACCGCAUACGAUCUAUGGAUGAAAGCGGGGGAUCGCAAGACCUCGCGCGAUUGGAGCGGCCGAUAUCAGAUUAGGUAGUUGGUGAGGUAAAGGCUCACCAAGCCGACGAUCUGUAGCUGGUCUGAGAGGACGACCAGCCACACUGGGACUGAGACACGGCCCAGACUCCUACGGGAGGCAGCAGUGGGGAAUUUUGGGACAAUGGGCGCAAGCCUGAUCCAGCAAUGCCGCGUGCAGGAUGAAGGCCU
RNAcentral lists this ribosomal RNA (388 nucleotides) under uncultured bacterium. Its description in RNAcentral is "bacterial SSU rRNA". It matches the Rfam family "Bacterial small subunit ribosomal RNA", at positions 30 to 417 of the family's 1533-position model. The record is from RNAcentral.